RNAcentral lists this unclassified non-coding RNA (215 nucleotides) under uncultured Gomphales. RNAcentral describes it as "sequence contains ITS2". The record is from RNAcentral. Lineage: Eukaryota; Fungi; Basidiomycota; Agaricomycetes.
ACGUGCUCAAGCCUGUGGCUUGGAAUUGGACGCCUUGUCGCGUUAAGGCCCUUUGGGGCCGUCGGCGACUCGUCUUGAAACGCAUAUAGUCGGCCUCGGUCGAAGUCGAAAUGCGGUGUGAUAAUUAAAUCGACGUCGCGGACGCUGCGAACUCGAGGGCGACUUCAAACGGUCCGACUUAGUGCGGACUGCCCUCUGGGGUAAACCGUGUAAGC